CAAGCAUUCUCUCUUUGCAGCUAGCACAGAGUUGCUUAGGAUGAUUCCCCUGUGGGUAUUGUUGGAAUGAGUUUCCCAAUGUAGGUGAACUGUGGAGGUUGACGAUUUAUUCUCCAAGAAAUGAACAUCCUACUUCUCGCCAAGGGUGAGCCCCUGUCCAGAGUUGCCGAUCUUACUCAGCAGAGUCCAGACCUGCACCUCCUCUUUCAGCCCUGCCUUCCCAUGAGUUUUCACAACACUUCAGCAAGCCAGGAAAAGGCUGAGCCUGCCAGAACCAAAAGUGGUGUGUACAACUUUAGCAUAAAAGGUUAAAAACAAUUAAAAUAACC
This is a non-coding RNA of Sus scrofa (pig), 329 nucleotides long. The record is from RefSeq and is a predicted model, not a curated record. Lineage: Eukaryota; Metazoa; Chordata; Mammalia; Artiodactyla; Suidae.